Molecule: long non-coding RNA, 239 nt
Filed under: Setaria italica (foxtail millet)
Lineage: Eukaryota; Viridiplantae; Streptophyta; Magnoliopsida; Poales; Poaceae
Description: long non-coding RNA (SITA_LNC003644)
Source: RNAcentral
CCACACUUUAGCAAGUACUAGUGUCUAGCGUUACAGAGUUGAUCAAUUUCAGCUUCUCGGCUAGGUAGAAAUCGGGCAAAAUUAUGUCAUUUUUGUACCGUCUGCUUGGUUUUACGGUGGAAUCUUGCUAGCAUUUAGGAGAUUGGACAAUUUUAGGAUUUACUAGGAGUUUUGUUAGCCUGGGGAAGUUGCAGCUAUUGUUCCAUGGAACUAUCCUGCCAAUUAUGCAGAUAUAGGGG